GCUGGGUGCAGUGGCCCACGCCUGUCAUCCCAGCAGCUCAGGAGGCUGAGGCAGGAGGAUCACAAAGUGGAGGCCAGCCUCAGCAACUCAGCGAGAACCUGUCUCUA
This 107-nucleotide small RNA is filed under the name Marmota monax (woodchuck). Lineage: Eukaryota; Metazoa; Chordata; Mammalia; Rodentia; Sciuridae. The record is from RNAcentral.